AGCGAACGCUAGCGGCGGGCUUAACACAUGCAAGUCGAGUGCAUCUCCUUCGGGAGGUGAGCGGCGAACGGGUGAGUAACACGUAGGUAACGUACCCUCUGGUGGGGAAUAACCCAGGGAAACUUGGGCUAAUACCGCAUGUGCCCUUCGGGGUGAAAGACUUCGGUUGCCAGAGGAUCGGCCUGCGGCCCAUUAUUUAAUCCUAGUUGGUAGGGUAACGGCCUACCAAGGGUACGAUGGGUAGCUGGUCUGAGAGGAUGAUCAGCCACACUGGGACUGAGACACGGCCCAGACUCCUACGGGAGGCAGCAGUGGGGAAUAUUGGACAAUGGGCGAAAGCCUGAUCCAGCCACGCCGCGUGAGUGAUGAAGGCCUCGGUUGUAAGGACUCUGUCGGGAGGGACGGAAGUAC
RNAcentral lists this ribosomal RNA (411 nucleotides) under uncultured bacterium. RNAcentral's name for it is "bacterial SSU rRNA". It matches the Rfam family "Bacterial small subunit ribosomal RNA", at positions 29 to 454 of the family's 1533-position model. The record is from RNAcentral.